GCCCGAAUGGCGAAAUAGGUAGACGCAGGAGACUUAAAAUCUCUCGCCAGUAAUGGCGUGCCGGUUCGAGUCCGGCUUCGGGCACCA
RNAcentral lists this transfer RNA (87 nucleotides) under Pseudomonas sp. REST10. RNAcentral's name for it is "tRNA-Leu". It matches the Rfam family "tRNA". Rfam says of the family: Transfer RNA (tRNA) molecules are approximately 80 nucleotides in length. Their secondary structure includes four short double-helical elements and three loops (D, anti-codon, and T loops). The record is from RNAcentral. Lineage: Bacteria; Pseudomonadati; Pseudomonadota; Gammaproteobacteria; Pseudomonadales; Pseudomonadaceae.